This 482-nucleotide ribosomal RNA is filed under the name uncultured bacterium. RNAcentral describes it as "SSU rRNA". It matches the Rfam family "Bacterial small subunit ribosomal RNA", at positions 26 to 518 of the family's 1533-position model. The record is from RNAcentral.
AGGAUUAACGCUGGCGGCGUGCAUGAAACAUGCAAGUCGAGCGCGGUGUGAUGCGGGGUAACCCAAUUCACAUCUAGCGGCGAACGGGUGAGUAACACGUGAGCAACCUACCUUUGAGUUGGGGAUAGCCCUGGGAAACCAGGAUUAAUACCCGAUGUGGUCACAACAGGACAUCCUGAUGUGAGUAAAGGCGCAAGCCGCUCAAUGACGGGCUCGCGGCCUAUUAGCUUGUUGGUGGGGUAACGGCCCACCAAGGCGAUGAUGGGUAGCUGGUCUGAGAGGACGAUCAGCCACACUGGGACUGAGACACGGCCCAGACUCCUACGGGAGGCAGCAGUAGGGAAUCUUGCGCAAUGGGCGAAAGCCUGACGCAGCCAUGCCGCGUGAAUGAUGAAGGUCUUAGGAUUGUAAAAUUCUUUCAGCGGGGACGAUAAUGACGGUACCCGCAGAAGAAGCCCGGCUAACUUCGUGCCAGCAGCCGG